GGCCUUUUGAAUUUAAUUUAAGGUCUGACCUGCCCAGUGAUUAAUUUAACGGCCGCGGUAUAUUGACCGUGCAAAGGUAGCAUAAUCAUUAGUCUUUUAAUAGAGGGCUGGAAUGAAUGGUUUAACGAGGAACUAGCUGUCUCAUUUUAUUUGUUUUAGAAUUUAAUUUUUUAGUUAAAAAGCUAAAAUUUUAUUGGAAGACGAGAAGACCCUAUAGAUCUUUAUAUAAUUUUAUUUAUUUAUUUAUAUAUUAAUGUAAUUAUAUUUAAAUUAUAUUUUGUUGGGGUGACAAAAAUAUAUAAUUAACUUUUUCAUUUAUUUACCAUUUAUAUAUGAGUAUUAGAUCCAUUUUUAGUGAUUGUUAGAAUAAGUUACCUUAGGGAUAACAGCGUAAUCCUCCUCCAGAGUUCAUAUUUACAGGAGGGCUUGCGACCUCGAUGUUGGAUUAAGAUAAUAAUUAGGUGUAGCCGCUUAAUGUAUAGGUCUGUUCGACCUUUAAAUUCUU
Molecule: ribosomal RNA, 505 nt
Filed under: Sympetrum depressiusculum
Lineage: Eukaryota; Metazoa; Arthropoda; Insecta; Odonata; Libellulidae
Description: partial 16S rRNA
Rfam family: Bacterial large subunit ribosomal RNA
Source: RNAcentral